CGGUAAGAUGAGGCAACUCACACAGCUCCAAUCAUUAACACUGUUGGAAUGCAGAAGUAUGACAUCGCUGCCAGAAUGGUUAGGAGAACUCACCUCUCUCAGUAAACUUGAAAUUGUGUGCUGCCCUGGCAUCACGACUUUGCCACACAGCAUACAACAGCUCACAAACCUCCAACAAUUGGAAAUUCGUGACUGCCAUUGAUUAAGCAUGUGGUGUGAAGCAGAGGAAAACAAGAUCAAGCUUGCUCAUAUAGGAGAAAUGCGUACUGAAGAUAAAGCCACUCCGAGAGAGCCAGGGGAGCAAGCAGAGCCAGCAGAGCCGCAACAUAGUGGCCGUUUGAGAUUCUGAGCUGUCAGUAGCAACGCCCAAUGUUAGCGAAACCGUUAGUAGCUUCAGCAGGAUUUCUAGAAAGCAUGGGUCUUCUCGCGUAUAUGUAUGUAUAUGAAUAUAAUACUGCUCGGUGAAAAUACAAGUGCAGCAGAAGUCGACAGUCCUGCAUCCGCAUUUCAACUGGAGCUACAGGUUAUGUAUGUAUAUGGGAGACUGCUGUGUUCUGCAUGAAUUCAAAGUGCCGGGAUUUUUGUAUAUUACCUUUGGCAGUAAAGAUUCUUGUACUAUGUUAUCUACUGCCCUUAACAAAGAUAAAGAUAACGCAUUCUUAGAAAUAGCGCUUGUUAUUUCGUUACUAGUUCUGGGGUCAUAGUGCUAGCUGUUUGUCUGCUGGAUUGCUUGAAUGAAAUGUAUUUUCACUUAUUUUAUU
Triticum urartu is the source of this 761-nucleotide non-coding RNA. Lineage: Eukaryota; Viridiplantae; Streptophyta; Magnoliopsida; Poales; Poaceae. The record is from RefSeq and is a predicted model, not a curated record.